AUAUUGGCCGAUAUGGUUCGGCUUUGUUUACGUCUUGGCCUUGUUUGUGUAUGGGUAUGAUAAGGGAAUGUUUCCAGGCUUUUGGUUUUUGACCGUUUAUCCAAGCUGUAUUAUAAAGUUUUAGUAGUUGGCUUAUUAAUGGUUUUGGGGCGUUUAUAACAUGAUAUAGCUGAUAUAGACAUCGUUUAUGUUACUUACCUAGCUUAUAUAGUUACAUAUGUAUCCGUGAGAAGAAAUGUGACAAAUCUGAUUCAAAUCUAGUUAACUUUUCUCAUUUCAACAACAACAGUUGUGUACUUCCGCCUGUAUCUGUAUCAUUGAGAAGGAAAUGUGACAAAUCUAACUCAAACUCAAACUCUUUUCUCAUUUCAACAACAAUAGCACUCAUGUCUUCUCCCUCGUUAAUUAGAGUAGAGCGGAUUAGCGCAGUCUUUCUGCUGUUCUCAGGUUCAUGUUCUCCAAGGCAGUCGACACUCCUGGUGUUAUUAGAGCAGUGUUGAGCAUUGCCACGCUCCACUGCUUUUCGACAGUCCGGAUUCAGUUUACAAGAGAAAGCAAGCCAUCAGAAAAGCUCUAGAACUUGAAGCAUCGUCCUAGGUCGUGCAUACACUUCAGUACUGGUUCCCUUACAUCCCAUCAUGCCUGCUGGUGUGACCUGGGGCCGGUACCUGCGCUUCACAACCGCGGCCAUGUUGUCCAUGUUUGCUGGGUCUCAGAC
This is a long non-coding RNA of Haliotis rubra (blacklip abalone), 718 nucleotides long. RefSeq lists it as uncharacterized. The transcript is spliced from 2 exons. NCBI's taxonomy places the organism in Eukaryota, Metazoa, Mollusca, Gastropoda, Lepetellida, Haliotidae. The record is from RefSeq and is a predicted model, not a curated record.